GAGUUUGAUCCUGGCUCAGGAUGAACGCUGGCGGCGUGCCUAACACAUGCAAGUCGAACGAAGCGUGCGGAUGGAAUUUCUUCGGAGAGGAAGCCUGCAUGACUGAGUGGCGGACGGGUGAGUAACGCGUGGGCAACCUGCCCUGCACAGGGGGACAACAGCCGGAAACGGUUGCUAAUACCGCAUAAGCGCACAGCUUCGCAUGGAGCAGUGUGAAAAGCUGCGGCGGUGCAGGAUGGGCCCGCGUCUGAUUAGCUGGUUGGCGGGGCAACGGCCCACCAAGGCGACGAUCAGUAGCCGGCCUGAGAGGGUGGACGGCCACAUUGGGACUGAGACACGGCCCAGACUCCUACGGGAGGCAGCAGUGGGGAAUAUUGCACAAUGGGGGAAACCCUGAUGCAGCGACGCCGCGUGAGCGAAGAAGUAUUUCGGUAUGUAAAGCUCUAUCAGCAGGGAAGAAAUUGACGGUACCUGAGUAAGAAGCUCCGGCUAAAUACGUGCCAGCAGCCGCGGUAAUACGUAUGGAGCAAGCGUUAUCCGGAUUUACUGGGUGUAAAGGGAGCGUAGGCGGCCUGUCAAGUCUGAUGUGAAAUACCGGGGCUCAACCCCGGGGCUGCAUUGGAAACUGGCAGGCUGGAGUG
This 641-nucleotide ribosomal RNA is filed under the name uncultured bacterium. RNAcentral's name for it is "bacterial SSU rRNA". It matches the Rfam family "Bacterial small subunit ribosomal RNA", at positions 9 to 648 of the family's 1533-position model. The record is from RNAcentral.